AACGAACGCUGGCGGCGCGCCUAAUACAUGCAAGUCGAGCGAGAAGGUGUAGCAAUACACUUGUAAAGCGGCGAACGGGUGAGGAAUACAUGGGUAAUCUACCAUCGAGUGGGGAAUAACCAGCCGAAAGGUUGGCUAAUACCGCGUACGCUUCCGAGUCUUCGGGCUUGGAAGGAAAGCCGCACUGUGAGUGCGGCGCUCUUUGAUGAGCUCAUGUCCUAUCAGCUUGUUGGUAGGGUAACGGCCUACCAAGGCUUUGACGGGUAGCUGGUCUGAGAGGACGAUCAGCCACACUGGCACUGCGACACGGGCCAGACUCCUACGGGAGGCAGCAGUAAGGAAUAUUGCGCAAUGGGCGAAAGCCUGACGCAGCGACGCCGCGUGGGGGAGUGAAGGUCUUCGGAUUGUAAACCCCUUUCGGGAGGGAAGAUGGAGCGAGCAAUCGUUCGGACGGUACCUCCAGAAGCAGCCACGGCCAACUUCGUGCCAG
RNAcentral lists this ribosomal RNA (490 nucleotides) under uncultured bacterium. RNAcentral describes it as "bacterial SSU rRNA". It matches the Rfam family "Bacterial small subunit ribosomal RNA", at positions 29 to 511 of the family's 1533-position model. The record is from RNAcentral.